Gasterosteus aculeatus aculeatus (three-spined stickleback) is the source of this 1236-nucleotide long non-coding RNA. The record is from Ensembl. NCBI's taxonomy places the organism in Eukaryota, Metazoa, Chordata, Actinopteri, Perciformes, Gasterosteidae.
CGUGAUAUUGUCACUGAGGCGGAAAUGAAAGUUCACCAGCGACAGCAACGGAGCACAGCCGAGAAAGAGCUGUGAGGUCAUGGCAGCUGCCAGCACGAGCAGACCUGGCGGUGGUGCCCAGACCACUGAGAAGUCUCAGUUGAUCUUGAAAGGUAAUGACCUGUUUGUUUAUUUUUUUUUUGGUCAUUGAUCUGACUAACUGAUCCAAAUAACAUCAUAGCACGUCGUUCCAAAACUAGGACAAAGCUCUGCACAUGAGGCAGCAUGAGGUCCUAUCCAUCCAUCCAUCACAACAUUUAAGAUAUCUUGCAGAGGACCCUUUCUUAGUUGUCGGUCUGGAUAGAUGGACAGAUAUACAUAGGUGCUCUAUUAAUCCCCAAGAGGAAAUGUGUGUGUAAUAGUGGCAGUACAGUACAUAGCAUGAGAAACCAAAAUGAACACUAUAUACUCCGGUCUAAUGGACCUUCACAAGGCCCACGUGGUUCUGCUGGAGUGACGGGCUCCGAAACCCCACGUUCCAAACACUGCGUGCAGUACACCUGUGCGCCCUGGUGGUAGAGGUCAUUGACCUGCUGGAAGAUGCACAGCCUUCUCCUGAUACUGAUACUGACUCUAAAACCUGGUCCAGCGUUGUGGGCUGUAGAGGCUUUUCUGGUAUUUGAACAACUCUCCUCCCCAUUCAUCUUAACCUUUUAUAAGGUCAUUAAUGAAAACCUUUUUUCUCAAUUUUUCCUAUUUCCAUAAAAAAGUAAUGUGACGGCCUGACCCAACACACCAUAAUGUUCUUACCACAAGUGAAGGAAGAAGUCAGAUGAUUUUUAUUUAAAUCAUUAAAGCAGCUAUAACCGAUAUUUCAUAGGGGAUUACAUCUGUAUGUGACGUGUAGCUAUAAAUGAUCAACCCAAGGAGUUUCAUCAUGUUGACGGUUACCGUCAGAGCAAUUAAAAAAAAGUAAAUGAGUAAUAGUGCUGCGCCGCGCGCUCUCCUCCCCCCCCCCACUAGAGGGCGAUGUCUGCCUGUGUUUCUCACCACCAACCACGCGGGUUUCGCCCCCUCACCCUCCAGGAGAAACGCCUGGGUGAAUAAUCCAGUAAAAUAAGUCUUUAUUUUAGUCAAGCACACAGCUAUUUGAAGAACGAGUAGAGCAAAUAUUAUGUUGUGAAGUACACAGUAAAGAAAAUACAUUUGAUCCAGAAUACUUUUGUGCAUUAACUUGCAUACUAAAUUAAUUAUUUG